AACGAACGCUGGCGGCAUGCCUAACACAUGCAAGUCGAACGAGACCUUCGGGUCUAGUGGCGCACGGGUUCGUAACGCGUGGGAACCUUCCCUUAGGUUCGGAAUAACUCCCCGAAAGGGGUGCUAAUACCGGAUAAUGUCUUCGGACCAAAGAUUUAUCGCCUUUGGAUGGGCCCGCGUUGGAUUAGCUAGUUGGUAGGGUAAAAGCCUACCAAGGCGACGAUCCAUAGCUGGUCUGAGAGGAUGAUCAGCCACACUGGGACUGAGACACGGCCCAGACUCCUACGGGAGGCAGCAGUGGGGAAUAUUGGACAAUGGGCGAAAGACUGAUCCAGCAAUGCCGCGUGAGUGAUGAAGGCCUUAGGGUUGUAAAGCUCUUUUACCCGGGAUGAUAAUGACAGUACCGGGAGAAUAAGCUCCGGCUAACUCCGUG
RNAcentral lists this ribosomal RNA (433 nucleotides) under uncultured bacterium. Its description in RNAcentral is "partial 16S ribosomal RNA". It matches the Rfam family "Bacterial small subunit ribosomal RNA", at positions 29 to 507 of the family's 1533-position model. The record is from RNAcentral.